UACGGAGGGUGCGAGCGUUGUCCGGAAUCAUUGGGCGUAAAGGGCGCGUAGGUGGCCUGGUCAGCGUGCGGUGAAAGCUCGGGGCUCAACCCCGAGUCGGCCGUGCGAACUGCUGGGCUUGAGCACUGUAGAGGCAGGCGGAAUUCCGGGUGUAGCGGUGGAAUGCGUAGAGAUCCGGAAGAACACCGGUGGCGAAGGCGGCCUGCUGGGCAGUGGCUGACACUGAGGCGCGACAGCGUGGGGAGCAAACAGG
This 253-nucleotide ribosomal RNA is filed under the name uncultured bacterium. Its description in RNAcentral is "partial 16S ribosomal RNA". It matches the Rfam family "Bacterial small subunit ribosomal RNA", at positions 524 to 776 of the family's 1533-position model. The record is from RNAcentral.